CAGCCGCCGCGGUAAUACCGGCGGCCCGAGUGGCGGCCACUAUUAUUGGGCCUAAAGCGUCCGUAGCCGGGCUGAUAAGUCCUCCGGGAAAUCUGGUCGCUUAACGAUCAGACUUCCGGAGGAUACUGCUGGCCUAGGGAGCGGGAGAGGCCGAGGGUAUUCCCGGAGUAGGGGUGAAAUCCUAUAAUCCCGGGAGGACCACCUGUGGCGAAGGCGCUCGGCUGGAACGCGUCCGACGGUGAGGGACGAAGGCCAGGGGAGCAAACCGGAUUAGAUACCCGGGUAGUCCUGGCUGUAAACGAUGCGGACGUUGUGUCGGACAAGCUAUGAGCUUGUCCGGUGCCGGAGGGAAACCGUUAAGUCCGCCGCCUGGGGAGUACGGCCGCAAGGCUGAAACUUAAAGGAAUUGGCGGG
RNAcentral lists this ribosomal RNA (414 nucleotides) under uncultured microorganism. RNAcentral's name for it is "bacterial SSU rRNA". It matches the Rfam family "Archaeal small subunit ribosomal RNA", at positions 459 to 872 of the family's 1478-position model. The record is from RNAcentral.